ACUACGGGAGGCAGCAGUGAGGAAUAUUGGUCAAUGGGCGGAAGCCUGAACCAGCCAAGUAGCGUGCAGGAUGACGGCCCUACGGGUUGUAAACUGCUUUUAUACGGGAAUAACGCGCCUUACGUGUAGGGCUUUGCAUGUACCGUAUGAAUAAGGACCGGCUAAUUCCGGGCCAGCAGCCGCGGUAAUACGGAAGGUCCGGGCGUUAUCCGGAUUUAUUGGGUUUAAAGGGAGCGUAGGCCGCAUGUCAAGCGUGCUGUGAAAUGUCCGGGCUCAACCCGGGCCUUGCAGCGCGAACUGGCGUGCUUGAGUCCGCGGAAAGCAGGCGGAAUUCGUCGUGUAGCGGUGAAAUGCUUAGAUAUGACGAAGAACCCCGAUUGCGAAGGCAGCUUGCUGCAGCGGAACUGACGCUGAUGCUCGAAAGCGCGGGUAUCGAACAGGAUUAGAUACCCCAGUAGUC
RNAcentral lists this ribosomal RNA (460 nucleotides) under uncultured bacterium. RNAcentral describes it as "partial 16S ribosomal RNA". It matches the Rfam family "Bacterial small subunit ribosomal RNA", at positions 338 to 795 of the family's 1533-position model. The record is from RNAcentral.